CUACCCACCUACGAAUUGAUUUUUAAAAAGAUCUUGGAGUGCGCAGAGAUGGACAGAUUGCCUUUGUCUUUGAAGGAGAAGGAAGAUACAAACUUUUAUCAAACUUGGCAUAUAUUUUAUCAUUGGUUAGAGAAACGGGACUAUGCGUAGAAUUGAAUAUAGUUCUUAAAUGUGAAAAAAAGAGCAUGAUGUCGACCCAGUAUAUCCAACGUCCUGAAUAAUUGUUGUUUUUAGUUUUGGAUUU
Molecule: long non-coding RNA, 244 nt
Organism: Varanus komodoensis (Komodo dragon)
Lineage: Eukaryota; Metazoa; Chordata; Lepidosauria; Squamata; Varanidae
Exons: 3
Source: RefSeq, a predicted model, not a curated record